Molecule: ribosomal RNA, 489 nt
Filed under: uncultured bacterium
Lineage: Bacteria
Description: partial 16S ribosomal RNA
Rfam family: Bacterial small subunit ribosomal RNA
Source: RNAcentral
GACGAACGCUGGCGGCGGGCUUAACACAUGCAAGUCGAACGGUGAAGGGACCAGCUUGCUGGGUCUGGAUAAGUGGCGAACGGGUGAGUAACACGUGAGUAACCUGCCCCCUUCUUCUGGAGAACCGCAUGAAAGGGUGGCUAAUACGGGAUAUUCUGGGUCUGUCGCAUGGCGGGCCCGGGAAAGAUAUUGCUUCGGUGGGGGAUGGGCUCGCGGCCUAUAAGCUUUGUGGUGGGGUGAUGGCCUACCAAGGCGGUGACGGGUAGCCGGCCUGAGAGGGUGGACGGUCACACUGGGACUGGGACACGGACCAGACGCCUACGGGAGGCAGCAGUGGGGAAUAGUGCGCAAUGGGCGCAAGCCUGAUGCAGCGACGCCGCGUGAGGGAUGGAGGCCUUCGGGUUGUAAACCUCUUUCGCCAGUGAAGCAGGCCUGCUCCUUGUGGGUGGGUUGACGGUAGCUGGAUAAGAAGCGCCGGCUAACUACGUG